CGCGUAUGCAACCUGCCUACUACAGGGGGAUAGGCUUCUGAAAGGGAGAUUAAUACCGCAUAAUAUAUAAGAUUCGCAUGGAUUUUAUAUUAAAGAGUUUUUGGUAGUAGAUGGGCAUGCGUUUCAUUAGCUAGUUGGUAAGGUAACGGCUUACCAAGGCUACGAUGAAUAGGGGAACUGAGAGGUUUAUCCCCCACACUGGGACUGAGACACGGCCCAGACUCCUACGGGAGGCAGCAGUGAGGAAUAUUGGUCAAUGGGCGAGAGCCUGAACCAGCCAAGUCGCGUGAAGGAUGACUGCCCUAUGGGUUGUAAACUUCUUUUGUACAGGAGUAAAGGAUAUUACGUGUAAUAUUUUGCAAGUACUGUACGAAUAAGCAUCGGCUAACUCCGUGCCAGCAGCCGCGGUAAUACGGAGGAUGCGAGCGUUAUCCGGAUUUAUUGUGUUUAAAGGGUGCGUAGGCCGUAAUUUAAGUCAGUGGUCAAAUUUCCGGGCUCAACCCGGUCUUGCCAUUGAAACUGGAUUACUUGAGUUUAAGCGAGGUAGGCGGAAUUUGUAGUGUAGCGGUGAAAUGCAUAGAUAUUACAAGGAACUCCGAUUGCGUAGGCAGCUUACUAGUUUAUAACUGACGCUGAAGCACGAAGGCGUGGG
RNAcentral lists this ribosomal RNA (652 nucleotides) under uncultured Dysgonomonas sp. RNAcentral describes it as "bacterial SSU rRNA". It matches the Rfam family "Bacterial small subunit ribosomal RNA", at positions 114 to 765 of the family's 1533-position model. Lineage: Bacteria; Pseudomonadati; Bacteroidota; Bacteroidia; Bacteroidales; Dysgonomonadaceae. The record is from RNAcentral.